This 370-nucleotide ribosomal RNA is filed under the name uncultured organism. Its description in RNAcentral is "partial 16S ribosomal RNA". It matches the Rfam family "Bacterial small subunit ribosomal RNA", at positions 527 to 896 of the family's 1533-position model. The record is from RNAcentral.
GUAGGUGGCAAGCGUUGUCCGGAAUCAUUGGGCGUAAAGCGCGCGCAGGCGGUUCUUUAAGUCUGAUGUGAAAGCCCACGGCUCAACCGUGGAGGGUCAUUGGAAACUGGAGAACUUGAGUACAGAAGAGGAAAGCGGAAUUCCACGUGUAGCGGUGAAAUGCGUAGAGAUGUGGAGGAACACCAGUGGCGAAGGCGGCUUUCUGGUCUGUAACUGACGCUGAGGCGCGAAAGCGUGGGGGAGCAAACAGGAUUAGAUACCCUGGUAGUCCACGCCGUAAACGAUGAGUGCUAAGUGUUAGGGGGUUUCCGCCCCUUAGUGCUGCAGCUAACGCAUUAAGCACUCCGCCUGGGAGUACGGCCGAAGGCUG